Molecule: long non-coding RNA, 4934 nt
Organism: Anopheles funestus (African malaria mosquito)
Lineage: Eukaryota; Metazoa; Arthropoda; Insecta; Diptera; Culicidae
Exons: 8
Source: RefSeq, a predicted model, not a curated record
GUUGGUGGAAACUUUAAGUUUGCGACCAAAGUUGAUGUUUUCGGUCAAAGUUGAUGUUUUUGGUCAAAGUUGGUGGAAACUGGAAGUUUGCAACCAAAGAUGAUGAUUUCGGUCCAAAAUGAUGAUUUCGGUCAAAGUUGAUUUUUUUGGUCAAAGUUGGUGGAAACUGGAAGUUUGCAACCAAAGAUGAUGAUUUCGGUCAAAGUAGAUGUUUUUGGUCAAAGUUGGUGGAAACUCGAGGUUUGCGACCAAAAUUGAUGUUUUCGGUCAAAGUUGAUGUUUUCGGUCAAAGUUGGUGGAAACUGGAAGUUUGCAACCAAAGAUGAUGAUUUCGGUCAAAGUUGAUGUUUUUGGUCAAAGUUGGUGGAAACUCGAGGUUUGCGACCAAAGUUGAUGUUUUCGGUCAAAGUUGAUGUUUUCGGUCAAAGUUGGUGGAAACUUGAAGUUUGCGACCAAAGUUGAUGUUUUCGGUCAAAGUUGAUGUUUUCGGUCAAAGUUGGUGGAAACUGGAAGUUUGCAACCAAAGUUGAUGUUUUCGGUCAAAGUUGAUGUUUUCGGUCAAAGUUGGUGGAAACUGGAAGUUUGCAACCAAAGAUGAUGUUUUCGGUCAAAGUAGAUUUUUUUGGUCAAAGUUGGUGGAAACUCGAGGUUUGCGACCAAAGUUGAUGUUUUCGGUCAAAGUUGAUGUUUUUGGUCAAAGUUGGUGGAAACUGGAAGUUUGCAACCAAAGAUGAUGAUUUCGGUCAAAGUAGAAGUUUUUGGUCAAAGUUGGUGGAAACUGGAAGUUUGCAACCAAAGAUGAUGAUUUCGGUCAAAGUAGAUGUGUUUGGUCAAGGUUGGUGGAAACUGGAAGUUUGCAACCAAAGAUGAUGAUUUCGGUCAAAGUAGAUGUUUUUGGUCAAAGUUGGUGGAAACUGGAAGUUUGCGACCAAAGAUGAUGAUUUCGGUCAAAGUAGAUGUUUUUGGUCAAAGUUGGUGGAAACUGGAAGUUUGCGACCAAAGUUGAUGUUUUCGGUCAAAGUAGAUGUUUAUGGUCAAAGUUGGUGGAAACUGGAAGUUUGCAACCAAAGAUGAUGAUUUCGGUCAAAGUUGAUGUUUUUGGUCAUAGUUGGUGGAAACUGGAAGUUUGUAACCAAAGAUGAUGAUUUCGGUCAAAGUUGAUGUUUUUGGUCAAAGUUGGUGGAAACUGGAAGUUUGCAACCAAAGAUGAUGAUUUCGGUCAAAGUUGAUGUUUUUGGUCAAAGUUGGUGGAAACUGGAAGUUUGCAACCAACGAUGAUGAUUUCGGUCAAAGUUGAUGUUUUUGGUGAAAGUUGGUGGAAACUGGAAGUUUGCGAAAAAAGUUGAUGUUUUUGGUCAAAGUAGAUGUUUUUGGUCAAAGUUGGUGGAAACUGGAAGUUUGCAACCAAAGAUGAUGAUUUCGGUCAAAGUUGAUGUUUUUGGUCAAAGUUGGUGGAAACUGGAAGUUUGCAACCAAAGAUGAUGAUUUCGGUCAAAGUAGCUGUUUUUGGUCAAAGUUGGUGGAAACUUGAAGUUUGCGACCAAAGUUGAUGAUUUCGGUCAAAGUAGCUGUUUUUGGUCAAAGUUGGUGGAAACUGGAAGUUUGCAACCAAAGAUGAUGAUUUCGGUCAAAGUAGAUGUUUUUGGUCAAAGUUGGUGGAAACUGGAAGUUUGCAACCAAAGAUGAUGAUUUCGGUCAAAGUAGAUGUUUUUGGUCAAAGUUGGUGGAAACUGGAAGUUUGCAACCAAAGAUGAUGAUUUCGGUCAAAGUAGAUGUUUUUGGUCAAAGUUGGUGGAAACUUGAAGUUUGCGACCAAAGUUGAUGUUUUCGGUCGAAGUUGAUGUUUUUGGUCAAAGUUGGUGGAAACUGGAAGUUUGCAACCAAAGAUGAUGAUUUCGGUCAAAGUAGAUGUUUUUGGUCAAAGUUGGUGGAAAUUCGAAGUUUGCGACCAAAGUUGAUGAUUUCGGUCAAAGUAGCUGUUUUUGGUCAAAGUUGGUGGAAACUGGAAGUUUGCAACCAAAGAUGAUGAUUUCGGUCAAAGUAGAUGUUUUUGGUCAAAGUUGGUGGAAACUGGAAGUUUGCAACCAAAGAUGAUGAUUUCGGUCAAAGUAGAUGUUUUUGGUCAAAGUUGGUGGAAACUGGAAGUUUGCAACCAAAGAUGAUGAUUUCGGUCAAAGUAGAUGUUUUUGGUCAAAGUUGGUGGAAACUUGAAGUUUGCGACCAAAGUUGAUGAUUUCGGUCAAAGUAGCUGUUUUUGGUCAAAGUUGGUGGAAACUGGAAGUUUGCAACCAAAGAUGAUGAUUUCGGUCAAAGUUGAUGUUUUUGGUCAAAGUUGGUGGAAACUGGAAGUUUGCAACCAAAGAUGAUGAUUUCGGUCAAAGUAGAUGUUUUUGGUCAAAGUUGGUGGAAACUGGAAGUUUGCAACCAAAGAUGAUGAUUUCGGUCAAAGUAGAUGUUUUUGGUCAAAGUUGGUGGAAACUUGAAGUUUGCGACCAAAGUUGAUGUUUUCGGACAAAGUUGAUGUUUUUGGUCAAAGCUGGUGGAAACUGGAAGUUUGCAACCAAAGAUGAUGAUUUCGGUCAAAGUAGAUGUUUUUGGUCAAAGUUGGUGGAAACUUGAAGUUUGCGACCAAAGUUGAUGAUUUCGGUCAAAGUAGCUGUUUUUGGUCAAAGUUGGUGGAAACUGGAAGUUUGCAACCAAAGAUGAUGAUUUCGGUCAAAGUAGAUGUUUUUGGUCAAAGUUGGUGGAAACUGGAAGUUUGCAACCAAAGAUGAUGAUUUCGGUCAAAGUAGAUGUUUUUGGUCAAAGUUGGUGGAAACUGGAAGUUUGCAACCAAAGAUGAUGAUUUCGGUCAAAGUAGAUGUUUUUGGUCAAAGUUGGUGGAAACUGGAAGUUUGCAACCAAAGAUGAUGAUUUCGGUCAAAGUAGAUGUUUUUGGUCAAAGUUGGUGGAAACUGGAAGUUUGCAACCAAAGAUGAUGAUUUCGGUCAAAGUUGAUGUUUUUGGUCAAAGUUGGUGGAAACUGGAAGUUUGCAACCAAAGAUGAUGUUUUCGGUCAAAGUAGAUGUUUUUGGUCAAAGUUGGUGGAAACUCGAGGUUUGCGACUAAAGUUGAUGUUUUCGGUCAAAGUUGAUGUUUUUGGUCAAAGUUGGUGGAAACUGGAGGUUUGCAACCAAAGAUGAUGAUUUCGGUCAAAGUUGAUGUUUUUGGUCAAAGUUGGUGGAAACUCGAGGUUUGCGACUAAAGUUGAUAUUUUCGGUCAAAGUAGAUGUUUUUGGUCAAAGUUGGUGGAAACUGGAAGUUUGCAACCAAAGAUGAUGAUUUCGGUCAAAGUUGAUGUUUUUGGUCAAAGUUGGUGGAAACUCGAGGUUUGCGACUAAAGUUGAUGUUUUCGGUCAAAGUAGAUGUUUUUGGUCAAAGUUGGUGGAAACUGGAAGUUUGCAACCAAAGAUGAUGAUUUCGGUCAAAGUAGAUGUUUUUGGUCAAAGUUGGUGGAAACUUGAAGUUUGCGACCAAAGUUGAUGAUUUCGGUCAAAGUAGAUGUUUUGGUCAAAGUUGGUGGAAACUGGAAGUUUGCAACCAAGAUGAUGAUUUCGGUCAAAGUUGAUGUUUUUGGUCAAAGUUGGUGGAAACUGGAAGUUUGCAACCAAAGAUGAUGAUUUCGGUCAAAGUAGUUGUUUUUGGUCAAAGUUGGUGGAAACUUGAAGUUUGCGACCAAAGUUGAUGAUUUCGGUCAAAGUAGCUGUUUUUGGUCAAAGUUGGUAGAAACUGGAAGUUUGCAACCAAAGAUGAUGAUUUCGGUCAAAGUUGAUGUUUUUGGUCAAAGUUGGUGGAAACUCGAGGGUUGCGACUAAAGUUGAUGUUUUCGGUCAAAGUUGAUGUUUUUGGUCAAAGUUGGUGGAAACUGGAAGUUUGCAACCAAAGAUGAUGAUUUCGGUCAAAGUUGAUGUUUUUGGUCAAAGUUGGUGGAAACUUGAAGUUUGCGACCAAAGUUGAUGUUUUCGGUCAAAGUAGAUGUUUUUGGUCAAAGUUGGUGGAAACUGGAAGUUUGCAACCAAAGAUGAUGUUUUCGGUCAAAGUAGAUGUUUUUGGUCAAAGUUGGUGGAAACUCGAGGUUUGCGACUAAAGUUGAUGUUUUCGGUCAAAGUUGAUGUUUUUGGUCAAAGUUGGUGGAAACUGGAGGUUUGCAACCAAAGAUGAUAAUUUCGGUCAAAGUUGAUGUUUUUGGUCAAAGUUGGUGGAAACUGGAAGUUUGCAACCAAAGAUGAUGAUUUCGGUCAAAGUAGAUGUUUUUGGUCAAAGCUGGUGGAAACUGGAAGUUUGCAACCAAAGAUGAUGAUUUCGGUCAAAGUAGAUGUUUUUGGUCAAAGUUGGUGGAAACUGGAAGUUUGCAACCAAAGAUGAUGAUUUCGGUCAAAGUAGAUGUUUUUGGUCAAAGUUGGUGGAAACUGGAAGUUUGCAACCAAAGAUGAUGAUUUCGGUCAAAGUAGAUGUUUUUGGUCAAAGUUGGUGGAAACUGGAAGUUUGCAACCAAAGAUGAUGAUUUCGGUCAAAGUUGAUGUUUUUGGUCAAAGUUGGUGGAAACUCGAGGUUUGCGACUAAAGUUGAUGUUUUCGGUCAAAGUAGAUGUUUUUGGUCAAAGUUGGUGGAAACUGGAAGUUUGCAACCAAAGAUGAUGAUUUCGGUCAAAGUUGAUGUUUUUGGUCAAAGUUGGUGGAAACUCGAGGUUUGCGACUAAAGUUGAUGUUUUCGGUCAAAGUAGAUGUUUUUGGUCAAAGUUGGUGGAAACUGGAAGUUUGCAACCAAAGAUGAUGAUUUCGGUCAAAGUUGAUGUUUUUGGUCAAAGUUGGUGGAAACUCGAGGUUUGCGACUAAAGUUGAUGUUUUCGGUCAAAGUAGAUGUUUUUGGUCAAAGUUGGUGGAAACUGGAAGUUU